GUGUAAGUUACAAGCUCAAUCAAUGGAAGCUGGCCAGGAGAAAAGGUCCUUCAGGUGCAGGAAUCAGAUGCAAUGAUGAUGAAGAGGCUCGCAGAACCAUCAUCUGCUUCUUUGGACACACUGGUUGAUGAUCCCUGAUUCUCAGAGGUACAUCGUGGUGAAUUGGUCAAGUGGACUUUUACCUUGCAUGGCCCUGUACAAAGCCGUAUGACCAUCUGCCUGCACUCUGAGCCGAGGUAGCAUGAGGAUAGACAGAGGCAUGAGGCUAUGGUUACUUGAACUCCAUAUGCCACAUGAAAAUUGGUAACAAAUUACUCGACUCUCUCAGCGGGCAUAAUUUUGGAGGGCCUGUGGGGAGGAGAGAGAGGAAACUCCCAUUACAGGGGAAACAGUUGUUCCUUUCCCAUGAGAGAAACAUCCAUCAGAG
This is a long non-coding RNA of Cyprinus carpio carpio, 427 nucleotides long. NCBI's taxonomy places the organism in Eukaryota, Metazoa, Chordata, Actinopteri, Cypriniformes, Cyprinidae. The record is from Ensembl.